RNAcentral lists this unclassified non-coding RNA (89 nucleotides) under Pseudomonas moraviensis. Lineage: Bacteria; Pseudomonadati; Pseudomonadota; Gammaproteobacteria; Pseudomonadales; Pseudomonadaceae. The record is from RNAcentral.
UGUGGGAGCGAGCCUGCUCGCGAGGGCGUCGUGUCAGGCGAAUAAUUCAUAACUGAUACACCGCUUUCGCGAGCAGGCUCGCUCCCACA